ACGGGGACCCGCACAAGUAGCGGAGCAUGUGGUUUAAUUCGAAGCAACGCGAAGAACCUUUACCAGGUCUUGACAUCCUCCUGAAUAAGCCUUAGCCGGCUUAGCUUUUCGGAGCAGGAGAGACAGGUGCUGCAUGGCUGUCGUCAGCUCGUGUCGUGAGAUGUUGGGUUAAGUCCCGCAACGAGCGCGACCCUCAUCCUUAGUUGCCAUCGCGUUGGGGUGGGCACUCUAGGAAACUGCCGGUGACAAGCCGGAGGAAGUGGGGAUGACGUCAAGUCCUCAUGGCCCUUACGGGCUGGGCUACACACGUACUACAAUGGCGGUGACAGAGGGCGCGCGAUGGGGUGACCCGGAGCCAAUCUCGAAAAGCCGUCUCAGUUCGGAUUGCACUCUGCAACUCGAGUGCAUGAAGUUGGAAUCGCUAGUAAUCGCGGAUCAGCGUGCCGCGGUGAAUACGUUCCCGGGCCUU
This 469-nucleotide ribosomal RNA is filed under the name uncultured Rhodospirillales bacterium. Its description in RNAcentral is "bacterial SSU rRNA". It matches the Rfam family "Bacterial small subunit ribosomal RNA", at positions 913 to 1382 of the family's 1533-position model. The record is from RNAcentral. Lineage: Bacteria; Pseudomonadati; Pseudomonadota; Alphaproteobacteria; Rhodospirillales.